UAGUGUAUUCGGAUAAUUGCGCGACCUGAAAGGGAGUGAGGAAAGUCCGGGCAUUUAGUCUUAUUUUUAAUAAGACAAUCGUAGUGGGUAAUACCCAUCAUGUGUAAGCAUAGUAGUGCGAACAGAGACGAAUCCAUUUAGUUGGAGUGAAACGGCUAAAUCUAUACGAGAAUGCAAGGCCGUGUCUACUUUAUGUAGAAGUGUCGCAAAGAUUUUAAUAGUAAUAUUAAAACAAGAUUAAUAAUUAUCACUCUAUUUAUAGAGAACAGAAUCCGGCUUAUAGAAUGCACAACGCA
RNAcentral lists this RNase P RNA (296 nucleotides) under Candidatus Nomurabacteria bacterium RIFCSPHIGHO2_02_FULL_33_12. Its description in RNAcentral is "RNase P RNA component class A". It matches the Rfam family "Bacterial RNase P class A". Rfam says of the family: Ribonuclease P (RNase P) is a ubiquitous endoribonuclease, found in archaea, bacteria and eukarya as well as chloroplasts and mitochondria. RNAcentral also lists the same sequence under 1 other name. Lineage: Bacteria; Candidatus Nomuraibacteriota. The record is from RNAcentral.